GAGCUAGAUACACUUUCAUCAGAAAGAGCCAGAUCCUUCAUAACUUGGCUUAGAGACAGCAGACCAUUAAGUCCAAUCCUUCACAUAGUAAAAGAUGAGAGUCCUGCCAAAGCAGAAUUUUUUCAGCAUUUGAUUGAAGACCGGACAGAGGCUGCAUUUUCUUACUAUGAAUUUUUGCUUCAUGUUCAGCAGCAGAUUUGUAAGUGAAGUAGAAUAAAAUUGAAUAAGAAAAAGAUCUAUAACCUAGGUAAAGCAUAAUCUGUCAGAGAAGCGCGUGAGAAAUUUGAAAUGAAGGCAUUUGUUAAUACAAGAUGCAACGCACAGCACUCUGUCUGAGGCUUUGGUAAAAAGUAAAGGGGAAGAAAGAACUUGACAGAUCUUUUUCAACUCAAAUUAAUGGUAACGAUGAUGCUGUUUCACCAAGUAUAUUUUGAAUUGGUUUCUACACAUUUCCAGUAGUAUGGCAGUACAGUGCUCUGUUCAUUGCAAGCUGGCAAAUUUAUGUAGCUAUGUGGAAUGAUAUGUCAUAAUGUAAAAUUAGAUAAAUUCUUUUUUCUUAUAAUUAAUAUAACAUUUCUGGACUUGAACUCUGGCAAGAGAUGCCAAAAGGCAUUGGUACCGUGUUAUUUGUUUAUAUGAAUUACUUUUUAACAAGGAAUGUUUCUUAUUCAUUAAAUGAAUUCAACAUUUUCUCUGUAAAAACAAUAGAGUUUCAGUACAUGAACUAUAGAAAAAAAUCUAUAUAUAAUGUACAUAAAUGUUACAUUUGUAAAGAAAAUGUAAAAAUGUAACUAUAGCAUAUGAAUUGCUUAAACUGUGCUGCAUUGUUGGAUGACAACUCUUUUUGUCACAGUUAGAGAAUGAGGUUGACUAAUGCAUAUUAUGAAUUGAGUCCACAAAGGAACACAAAACUCUUUGUAAUUCUGUUAAAUCUUUUAUGUAGAUUUAUUUAUGAUCAGCCUACUAAUUAAAACUAUUUCGCUUGAC
This 987-nucleotide long non-coding RNA is filed under the name Homo sapiens (human). Its description in RNAcentral is "HSALNT0076094". Lineage: Eukaryota; Metazoa; Chordata; Mammalia; Primates; Hominidae. The record is from RNAcentral.